UGAGUUGGCUGGGCGGCCGCGGCAGAAGGAACCGAGUGUCUUUUCGAAGGCAUUAAGGCCUUCUGUCGAGGAAAGUCCGGACUCCACAGAGCAGGGCGGUUGCUAACGGCAACCCGAGGUGACUCGCGGGACAGUGCCACAGAAAACAGACCGCCUCCGACAGCUUUCGAGCUAUUGGAGGUGAGGGUGAAACGGUGCGGUAAGAGCGCACCAGCAUCCCAGGUGACUGGGAUGGCUAGGUAAACCCCGCCCGGAGCAAGGUUGAAGGCUGCAUUUCGGUGCAGCUGCGCAGGUGUUUGAGGGCUGCUCGCCCGAGCUUGCGGGUGAACCGCUUGAGGUACCCGGCGACGGUGUGCCCAGAUGGAUGGUCGCCACCUAACUCACGUUAGGUACAGGAUCCGGCUUACACGCCAACUCGUCCG
RNAcentral lists this RNase P RNA (422 nucleotides) under Rhodococcus sp. (in: high G+C Gram-positive bacteria). RNAcentral describes it as "RNase P RNA component class A". It matches the Rfam family "Bacterial RNase P class A". Rfam says of the family: Ribonuclease P (RNase P) is a ubiquitous endoribonuclease, found in archaea, bacteria and eukarya as well as chloroplasts and mitochondria. The record is from RNAcentral. Lineage: Bacteria; Bacillati; Actinomycetota; Actinomycetes; Mycobacteriales; Nocardiaceae.